This 230-nucleotide ribosomal RNA is filed under the name uncultured microorganism. RNAcentral's name for it is "partial 16S ribosomal RNA". It matches the Rfam family "Bacterial small subunit ribosomal RNA", at positions 524 to 753 of the family's 1533-position model. The record is from RNAcentral.
UACGGAGGAUGCAAGCGUUAUCCGGAUUCAUUGGGUUUAAAGGGUGCGCAGGCGGGAAAGUAAGUCAGUGGUGAAAAACUUCCGCUCAACGGUAGUCGUGCCAUUGAUACUGCUUUUCUUGAGUUUGGAUGAGGUAGGCGGAAUGUGCAGUGUAGCGGUGAAAUGCAUAGAUAUUGCACAGAACACCAAUUGCGAAGGCAGCUUACUAAUCCACGACUGACGCUGAGGCA